GCCACGAUGCACCGCUCCUGAUCGUGCCACCGACGCCCUGCCGACGCCGCGCACACAGCCUGCCGCAUGCCGCCGUCAACCCCGCGCCGCGUGACCUCUCCUCACCGAGCACCCACACGCCGCCACCACACCGCCGUCGUGCACACCGGAGCCGCCCUCGCCGCCCGCCAUGGUCCUCGGAGCAUCAUCGUCGGCGAGCCACUUUGUUGCAGGGGGUCGCUUCCGCGACCAAUAAUCUACGUGUAGAGUCGGAGGAGGAUCGGACUGACGAGGACCGUGAGUAUCGGGAGGAGUUAGGCGACGACUACUCCGAAGGUUCUUAUGAUUCCGAGGGAUAUAGCGACUAGGGGAUUCGUGCCUUCGCUCAAGUCAAUGGAGUUUCUACCUUCCGCAUCUAUCGAGCUGUUCCGGUUGAUAAUAUAGAUUUUGUUUCUGCCAUGUGGCAAUGUAAUAAUGUAAUACUCUUUACUCUUAAUGCUUUUGUACGAUGUAUGGAUGACGAUUAUCAACUGGAAUUGGGUAAUUUGAUUGUCGGUGUUUUCCCCGCGGGGGGUCACACCAACGAGUAAAUUUGUAUGCGUGCUCCCUUUCCCAUAUGGUAA
Sorghum bicolor (sorghum) is the source of this 602-nucleotide long non-coding RNA. RefSeq lists it as uncharacterized. The record is from RefSeq and is a predicted model, not a curated record. NCBI's taxonomy places the organism in Eukaryota, Viridiplantae, Streptophyta, Magnoliopsida, Poales, Poaceae. The transcript has 3 exons.